This 413-nucleotide long non-coding RNA is filed under the name Mytilus galloprovincialis (Mediterranean mussel). The record is from RNAcentral. Lineage: Eukaryota; Metazoa; Mollusca; Bivalvia; Mytilida; Mytilidae.
GCAUGCAGCAGUCAACAUUGUAUACUUAUUGACUGGGUAUGAGUGGAAUAGUUAGGUUUUUUUUGUCCCGAGGAGCAACUAUUGUCCUGAGGCGUAGCCGAGGGCAAUAGUUGUAUCCUAGGGACAAUAAACUUAAUAUUUCACGAAUAUCCAGUCAGUAAGUGUUUUAUUGUAUCAAAAAAGACAACAGACAAUAAAUGGCGGUGAUAAAUCAACUAUCGUUAUUUUAAAAAGAAGAAACCAAACCAUAACGUUAACUUCAUAGAUAAUUAUGUUCAAAUACUUAGGCUACGUCUUGCACUGACGUCAAACCUAUACUAGAUAUAAAAGGUAAACACGACGUCGUUUCUCUCGCGUUAUUUUCAAAAUUCUCCAAUCUAAUUAAAAUUAAAUCUCUCACUCCCUUAUUUUUU